This 70-nucleotide transfer RNA is filed under the name Paracirrhites arcatus (arc-eye hawkfish). Its description in RNAcentral is "tRNA-Arg". It matches the Rfam family "tRNA". Rfam says of the family: Transfer RNA (tRNA) molecules are approximately 80 nucleotides in length. Their secondary structure includes four short double-helical elements and three loops (D, anti-codon, and T loops). The record is from RNAcentral. Lineage: Eukaryota; Metazoa; Chordata; Actinopteri; Centrarchiformes; Cirrhitidae.
AGACUUUUAGUUUAAAUUAAAACAUUUGAUUUCGGCUCAAAAAUUUGUGGUUCGAGUCCACAAAAGUCUA